This is a long non-coding RNA of Lolium perenne, 835 nucleotides long. RefSeq lists it as uncharacterized. NCBI's taxonomy places the organism in Eukaryota, Viridiplantae, Streptophyta, Magnoliopsida, Poales, Poaceae. The record is from RefSeq and is a predicted model, not a curated record.
ACAAACUCAGGCAUGAGAAGAAAGUUAAGGGUUGCCAUGUGUGCAACCACAUAACCAAGUUCCCCUGCCUAAAGCAAUCGGCGGAUGACAAUGGGAUGGAGGCAUGGUUUGCCAUCCUACAGAUGAGGGCGGUUGUAAGGUCUCAGAACGAUCUCUUGUUGCCAUCUGCUCUGCGGGGGAAGUUCGUGAACAUGGCGGACACCACCGAUGAAAACGUGAGAGGCGACUUCCGUGCCAUCCAGCGGACCAUUUGCACAAUACUCUGGAGGGAUGUCAUCAUGAAUGGUGGCUUGUUCAACUAUGCCUCCGCACUUUCUAAUUCCGAGAUACAAGGCCGAUUAGAAGAUGGAUGUGACGAGAGAACAUUCAACACGCUCGAGGGCAUCCGUCCCUUCCCGCCGAAGUAGACUUGAGUCAAAAACUUUUGUGUCCUGCAAAUAUGACGUACUAUGUCGUCUACCACGGCAGGGUUCCUGGAGUCUACGAGGACUGGGAAGACUGUAGGAGGCAGGUCCACCGUUUCAGCGGCAACAGCUACAAGGGGUACACCACUUUGGAGGAGGCGGAAACUCGAUACGCCAACUUUCGAGCGGGACAGAGGAGGGAGAUGUGGAGGACCCCUUUCAUCGUGAUGAUGCUUGCCGCUACCGCCUCUCUAGUUUACUAUGUCAUUGUUGUUUAGCUAGGUCGUCGACUGGACUUGUAUGUAUUUGUGUAAUAUGUGCUACUUCGAGUCGUGAUGUUAUGGUCAACUAUCUACUAUCUAAACUUGUCUUAUUAAUGCAUGCAUGUUGUGAACAUUUGGGACUUUCUAUAUAACUGUGUAUUCUGUGUA